This 923-nucleotide long non-coding RNA is filed under the name Homo sapiens (human). RNAcentral's name for it is "novel transcript". The record is from RNAcentral. Lineage: Eukaryota; Metazoa; Chordata; Mammalia; Primates; Hominidae.
GCUGACUCUCUUCGGACUCGGCCCGCCUGCACCCAGGUGAAAUAAACAGCCUUAUUGCUCACACAAAGCCUGUUUGGUGGUCUCUUCACAUGGAUGUGAGUGAAAUUUGGUGCCGUGACUCAGAUCAGCGGACCUCCCUUGGGAAAUCAAUACCCUGUCCUCCUGCUCUUUGCUCUGUGAGAAAGAUCCACCUACAACCUCUGGUCCUCAGACCAACCAGCCCAAGGAACAUCUCACCAAUUUUAAAUCCGGAAGUUCAAGCUGCUAGAUGGACAGGUCAAAUGAAGAAACAGAUGCCUGACCACUACUAAGCUGUAACUGAUACUGCAGUUGAGAUACAAGAUGUGAAUCUAAAAGAAAUCACCUCGGAUGUCUAGCCCUGUCCUCAAAUAAUUUCAGCUCGGCUGUCUCAUGACUACAACCAUACAAGAAACCCCAACAGCCAACAUAUGGAAACAACCUAAAUGUCUGUCGACAGGUGAAUGAAUAAAGAAAAUGUGGUAUAUACAUACAGCAGAAUAUUGUUCAGUCUUAAAAAAGAAGGAAACCUUACAAUAUGCAGCAUCAUGAAUGAACAUGGAGGACAUUAUGCUAAAUGAAAUAAGCCAGUCACAGAAGGAACAGACACUGCCUGAUUCCAAUCGUAGGAGAUAACUAGUAUUGUCAAAUUUAUAAAAUUGACAAGAGAAUGGUAGUUGCUAGUGGGUGAGCAGAGGGGAAGAUGAGGAGUUAUUGUUGAAUGUGUAUAAAGUUUUAAUUAUGCAAGAUGAGUAAGUUCUAGCGAUCUAUUGUACAACCUUGUGCCUAUAGUUAACAAUGAUGUAUUGUGGAUGUAAAAAUUUGUUAAAGAGGAUACAUCUCAUAUUGUUUUCUUACCACAGUAAAAAAAAAAAGAAACAAAUAAACAAGAAUGUAUAUAGUAC